RNAcentral lists this ribosomal RNA (485 nucleotides) under uncultured bacterium. Its description in RNAcentral is "partial 16S ribosomal RNA". It matches the Rfam family "Bacterial small subunit ribosomal RNA", at positions 28 to 523 of the family's 1533-position model. The record is from RNAcentral.
GAUGAACGCUGGCGGCGUGCUUAACACAUGCAAGUCGAACGGUGAACACGGAGCUUGCUCUGUGGGAUCAGUGGCGAACGGGUGAGUAACACGUGAGCAACCUGCCCCUGACUCUGGGAUAAGCGCUGGAAACGGCGUCUGAUACCGGAUACGAGUAGCGGCCGCAUGGUCAGUUACUGGAAAGAGUUUUUGGUUGGGGAUGGGGUCGCGGCCUAUCAGCUUGUUGGUGAGGUAAUGGCUCACCAAGGCGUCGACGGGUAGCCGGCCUGAGAGGGUGACCGGCCACACUGGGACUGAGACACGGCCCAGACUCCUACGGGAGGCAGCAGUGGGGAAUAUUGCACAAUGGGCGAAAGCCUGAUGCAGCAACGCCGCGUGAGGGAUGACGGCCUUCGGGUUGUAAACCUCUUUUAGCAGGGAAGAAGCGAAAGUGACGGUACCUGCAGAAAAAGCGCCGGCUAACUACGUGCCAGCCGCCGCGGUAA